GAUGAAGAACGUAGCGAAAUGCGAUAAGUAAUGCGAAUUGCAGAAUCCGUGAGUCAUCGAAUCUUUGAACGCACAUUGCGCCCCUUGGUUAUUCCGAAGGGCAUGCCUGUUCGAGCGUCAUUAUCACCCCUCAAGCCCUGGCUUGGUGUUGGGGAUCGGCGUGCCCUCGCGGCGCGCCGUCCCCUAAAUCUAGUGGCGGUCUCGCUGUAGCUUCCUCUGCGUAGUAGCAACACUCGCACUGGAUCGCAGCGCGGCCACGCCGUUAAACCCCCCACUUCUGAAAGUUUGACCUCGGAUCAGGUAGGAAUACCCGCUGAACUUAAGCAUAUCAAUAAGCGGAGGA
This 343-nucleotide unclassified non-coding RNA is filed under the name soil metagenome. RNAcentral describes it as "partial contains 5.8S ribosomal RNA, internal transcribed spacer 2, and large subunit ribosomal RNA". The stretch from base 1 to 120 matches the Rfam family "5.8S ribosomal RNA", at positions 35 to 154 of the family's 154-position model. The record is from RNAcentral.